AGGUGCUGAAGAAGCCUGAGAAUAAGUCGUCCUUGAACCCUGUCCUACAGAAUCUAGGAUUAAGACAAGGAAAAGAAUUCCCGUCUCCGCAGCAGUUUGUUCAGUCUCAAUACUUCUCAGAAAAUGGAGAGGAAGUGGAUCCUAACGCUGAUGCAAUUAAUACCCUGGCCAGCGCUGUUGGGGGAUUUUUUACAGGUGAUGGGCCGGGGGUGAGUUUACUGAAUGGAUUUACUAACUCGUAUCCUCCACCCCAAGCUGGGUAUACACCACCCAGCCAGUUUGUGAGUGUGAAUCAACCUAUACCACUUGCUUCAAUGUCCUCAAUGGGGAUAAUUCCUCCU
Molecule: long non-coding RNA, 341 nt
Organism: Eurytemora carolleeae
Lineage: Eukaryota; Metazoa; Arthropoda; Copepoda; Calanoida; Temoridae
Exons: 3
Source: RefSeq, a predicted model, not a curated record